RNAcentral lists this ribosomal RNA (1674 nucleotides) under Triticum aestivum (bread wheat). RNAcentral's name for it is "partial small subunit ribosomal RNA". Lineage: Eukaryota; Viridiplantae; Streptophyta; Magnoliopsida; Poales; Poaceae. The record is from RNAcentral.
AUGGGUACUGGAAGCGAUCGAUAUCCAAACAUGUCGCCCGCGCCGCCAACAUGGGUCGACCUCCCGCCGGAGCUCCUGGCCCUCGUCUCCGGCCGCCUGCACGAGGCGGCCGACUUCGUCCGCUUCCAUGCCGCCUGCACGCGGUGGCGGGACUCGCUGAGCCAUACGACGGCGCUCCGCCCGGCCUUCUUUCCCUGGCUCAUCGCCCCGCCAUCCGGCUAUGGCUCUUCCGUCGUCAAGCUCCGCUGCGUCUUCUCCAAGACAACCUACCUCGCGGCGGCGCCCGAGACGUUCUCCAGUCGCAGGUGGGUGGCGCGAGCCGACGGCUCGGCGGCCUGGUUCUCCGCCGCUGGCUCCGGGCUUACGCUCAUCGACCCUCUCACAGGAGAUGUUGCCACGUCCCUGCCGACCUUCCCGGAGGACGACGGCAAGACCACACGGAGGAUGGAGAUCUCCCGCGGCAUCAUAUAUGCCGACGGCACGGUCUUCCUGUACAACUUCACCUACCCCGACUACGUCGACCCCGAUGAGGACGACGACAAGUUAGAUGAGCAAAUCUACUUAUGUUUCAACACGGCCAUCCUUGGUCCCGGAGAUACCGCCUGGAAGUUCGCCCAGAGAGAGUUGGACGUGUACACCAAGUGGGACGCGAUGAAGGGGGAGUAUGAAAUCGAGAACAAUCGUUUACCGGCCGCGUACCCUGUUGACCACAGAAUGAAACUAGUGUGUGUGGACGGAGAAGAUUACAAUCUGAAGGACACCUGGACGUGGCACAUCCUGCCCGAGCUGACAGGCGACGAAAUCAUGGACGAGGAAGAGGAGAUCCUCAUCAGUGGCAUCCAAGAGGAAGAGAUCGACACCACCGGCUGGUACCUCGAGUCUUGCCAUAUCCUUGAGUCCCGCGGCGAGCUGCUGCAGGUGUCCGUCCUGGUUCAACAAGACAGGAGCUUCAUAUAUGAGGACGCAGCAGCCCAGGCGAGCGCGUUGGUUGUGUGGGUGCACGCGUUGGAGGAAGACACGGAUGCAGACGGUGGACGGAGGGUGAUGCGGUGGGCAAGGAGGGAUGGUCGGAGCUUCUCCGACCGGGUCAUGUUCUUGGGGUUCCCGACCAGCUUUGCCGUGGAAGCCACGAAGUUCCCUGGCGAGGAGGACUACCUGAGCGGCGGGUGCGUCUACUUGCUCCAGCACAGAAGGUUGGACUUACAUGGCUCGUCAUCGCGUGGCGUGUUCAGGUACAAUCUUCUCGACGACAAGGCUAAGUUCAUUGAGCAGCUACCUCCGGAGUGGAGCGGCCAGAAGAAAGCCGAUGCUUGCCUGUGGUUCAUGCCCCAGCCUUCCAUUGCCCCGAUCCAGGUAAUUAGAGAAAGGCUAGAGGCUCCAAGGGCAGACCAUCCAAAUAUGAGAAUUAGCACUUUUCGCAUGGAGGAACGACCAAAACAACCCAAGGUGCCUUUGUUCAGAUUCCUCGUGCAAAACCUACCUCCUGCUGUGGAUAGCUCUCGGCUGUGCACCUUCUUCGGUAAGCAUGGCCAAGUUUUGGCCACUAAGAUGAUCUCACCUGCAGGGACGGCAUGUGUUAUCAUGUUCGUGGAGAUGGUGAAUAGACUAGAUGAUGCCGAGGCCACCCUCGAUGGGCUAGUCUUGGAUGGUUGCACCCUGACGGUGAAGUGGUGA